GAUGAACGCUAGCUACAGGCUUAACACAUGCAAGUCGCAGGGUAACAUGAGGAAAGCUUGCUUUCCUUGAUGACGACUGGCGCACGGGUGAGUAACGCGUAUCCAACCUUCCCAUAACUACGGGAUAACCCGUUGAAAGACGGCCUAAUACCGUAUGACAUCGUUUGCUGACAUCAAAUAACGAUUAAAGGUUUAGCGGUUAUGGAUGGGGAUGCGUCUGAUUAGCUUGUUGGCGGGGUAACGGCCCACCAAGGCGACGAUCAGUAGGGGUUCUGAGAGGAAGGUCCCCCACAUUGGAACUGAGACACGGUCCAAACUCCUACGGGAGGCAGCAGUGAGGAAUAUUGGUCAAUGGGCGAGAGCCUGAACCAGCCAAGUAGCGUGCAGGACGACGGCCCUAUGGGUUGUAAACUGCUUUUAUGUGGGGAUAAAGUGCGUGACGUGUCAUGCAUUGCAGGUACCACAUGAAUAAGGACCGGCUAAUUCCGUGCCAGCAGCCGCGGUAAUACGGAAGGUCCGGGCGUUAUCCGGAUUUAUUGGGUUUAAAGGGAGCGUAGGCUGUCUAUUAAGCGUGUUGUGAAAUUUACCGGCUCAACCGGUGGCUUGCAGCGCGAACUGGUCGACUUGAGUAUGCAGGAAGUAGGCGGAAUUCAUGGUGUAGCGGUGAAAUGCUUAGAUAUCAUGACGAACUCCGAUUGCGCAGGCAGCUUACUGUAGCAUAACUGACGCUGAUGCUCGAAAGUGCGGGUAUCAAACAGG
This 759-nucleotide ribosomal RNA is filed under the name uncultured Prevotella sp. RNAcentral's name for it is "bacterial SSU rRNA". It matches the Rfam family "Bacterial small subunit ribosomal RNA", at positions 28 to 776 of the family's 1533-position model. Lineage: Bacteria; Pseudomonadati; Bacteroidota; Bacteroidia; Bacteroidales; Prevotellaceae. The record is from RNAcentral.